RNAcentral lists this ribosomal RNA (253 nucleotides) under uncultured bacterium. Its description in RNAcentral is "partial 16S ribosomal RNA". It matches the Rfam family "Bacterial small subunit ribosomal RNA", at positions 524 to 776 of the family's 1533-position model. The record is from RNAcentral.
UACGGGGGGGGCAAGCGCUGUCCGGAAUUAUUGGGCGUAAAGAGCUUGUAGGCGGUCUGUCGCGUCUGCUGUGAAAAUCCGGGGCUCAACCCCGGACUUGCAGUGGGUACGGGCAGACUAGAGUGUGGUAGGGGAGACUGGAAUUCCUGGUGUAGCGGUGAAAUGCGCAGAUAUCAGGAGGAACACCGAUGGCGAAGGCAGGUCUCUGGGCCACUACUGACGCUGAGAAGCGAAAGCAUGGGGAGCGAACAGG